This 459-nucleotide ribosomal RNA is filed under the name uncultured bacterium. Its description in RNAcentral is "partial 16S ribosomal RNA". It matches the Rfam family "Bacterial small subunit ribosomal RNA", at positions 338 to 795 of the family's 1533-position model. The record is from RNAcentral.
CCUACGGGAGGCAGCAGUGAGGAAUAUUGGUCAAUGGUCGGGAGACUGAACCAGCCAAGCCGCGUGAGGGAUGAAGGUCCAGAGUAUCGUAAACCUCUUUUGUCAGGGAACAAAGGCGGGGACGUGUCCCCGGCUGAGUGUACCUGAAGAAAAAGCAUCGGCUAACUCCGUGCCAGCAGCCGCGGUAAUACGGAGGAUGCGAGCGUUAUCCGGAUUUAUUGGGUUUAAGGGGUGCGCAGGCGGUCUGUUAAGUCAGCGGUCAAAGCCCGGGGCUCAACCCCGGCCCGCCGUUGAAACUGGCAGUCUCGAGUUGGAGAGAAGUAGGCGGAAUGCGCGGUGUAGCGGUGAAAUGCAUAGAUAUCGCGCAGAACUCCGAUUGCGAAGGCAGCAUGCCGGAUCCACACUGACGCUGAGGCACGAAAGCGUGGGUAUCGAACAGGAUUAGAUACCCCUGUAGUC